This 104-nucleotide non-coding RNA is filed under the name Clostridium grantii. RNAcentral describes it as "Guanine sequence". It matches the Rfam family "Purine riboswitch aptamer". From Rfam's summary of the family: Riboswitches are metabolite binding domains within certain messenger RNAs that serve as precision sensors for their corresponding targets. Allosteric rearrangement of mRNA structure is mediated by ligand binding, and this results in modulation of gene expression. RNAcentral also lists the same sequence under 1 other name. The record is from RNAcentral. Lineage: Bacteria; Bacillati; Bacillota; Clostridia; Eubacteriales; Clostridiaceae.
AAAAACAAUUAAAUGUUUGCUUAUAUAAAACCAGCAAUAUGGGCUGGAUGUUUCUACCGAACUACCGUAAAUAGUUGUAGGCUAUAAGUGUUAUGAGCUUAAAG